AAAAAGGCUCUUUUCAGAGCCGCCCAAACCUUCAACCGAAAGAGC
Danio rerio (zebrafish) is the source of this 45-nucleotide non-coding RNA. Lineage: Eukaryota; Metazoa; Chordata; Actinopteri; Cypriniformes; Danionidae. The record is from Rfam.